Molecule: ribosomal RNA, 1580 nt
Filed under: Limosilactobacillus fermentum
Lineage: Bacteria; Bacillati; Bacillota; Bacilli; Lactobacillales; Lactobacillaceae
Description: bacterial SSU rRNA
Rfam family: Bacterial small subunit ribosomal RNA
Source: RNAcentral
UUUAUAUGAGAGUUUGAUCCUGGCUCAGGAUGAACGCCGGCGGUGUGCCUAAUACAUGCAAGUCGAACGCGUUGGCCCAAUUGAUUGAYGGUGCUUGCACCUGAUUGAUUUUGGUCGCCAACGAGUGGCGGACGGGUGAGUAACACGUAGGUAACCUGCCCAGAAGCGGGGGACAACAUUUGGAAACAGAUGCUAAUACCGCAUAACAACGUYGUUCGCAUGAACAACGCUUAAAAGAUGGCUUCUCGCUAUCACUUCUGGAUGGACCUGCGGUGCAUUAGCUUGUUGGUGGGGUAAYGGCCUACCAAGGCGAUGAUGCAUAGCCGAGUUGAGAGACUGAUCGGCCACAAUGGGACUGAGACACGGCCCAUACUCCUACGGGAGGCAGCAGUAGGGAAUCUUCCACAAUGGGCGCAAGCCUGAUGGAGCAACACCGCGUGAGUGAAGAAGGGUUUCGGCUCGUAAAGCUCUGUUGUUAAAGAAGAACACGUAUGAGAGUAACUGUUCAUACGUUGACGGUAUUUAACCAGAAAGUCACGGCUAACUACGUGCCAGCAGCCGCGGUAAUACGUAGGUGGCAAGCGUUAUCCGGAUUUAUUGGGCGUAAAGAGAGUGCAGGCGGUUUUCUAAGUCUGAUGUGAAAGCCUUCGGCUUAACCGGAGAAGUGCAUCGGAAACUGGAUAACUUGAGUGCAGAAGAGGGUAGUGGAACUCCAUGUGUAGCGGUGGAAUGCGUAGAUAUAUGGAAGAACACCAGUGGCGAAGGCGGCUACCUGGUCUGCAACUGACGCUGAGACUCGAAAGCAUGGGUAGCGAACAGGAUUAGAUACCCUGGUAGUCCAUGCCGUAAACGAUGAGUGCUAGGUGUUGGAGGGUUUCCGCCCUUCAGUGCCGGAGCUAACGCAUUAAGCACUCCGCCUGGGGAGUACGACCGCAAGGUUGAAACUCAAAGGAAUUGACGGGGGCCCGCACAAGCGGUGGAGCAUGUGGUUUAAUUCGAAGCUACGCGAAGAACCUUACCAGGUCUUGACAUCUUGCGCCAACCCUAGAGAUAGGGCGUUUCCUUCGGGAACGCAAWGACAGGUGGUGCAUGGUCGUCGUCAGCUCGUGUCGUGAGAUGUUGGGUUAAGUCCCGCAACGAGCGCAACCCUUGUUACUAGUUGCCAGCAUUAAGUUGGGCACUCUAGUGAGACUGCCGGUGACAAACCGGAGGAAGGUGGGGACGACGUCAGAUCAUCAUGCCCCUUAUGACCUGGGCUACACACGUGCUACAAUGGACGGUACAACGAGUCGCGAACUCGCGAGGGCAAGCAAAUCUCUUAAAAYCGUUCUCAGUUCGGACUGCAGGCUGCAACUCGCCUGCACGAAGUCGGAAUCGCUAGUAAUCGCGGAUCAGCAUGCCGCGGUGAAUACGUUCCCGGGCCUUGUACACACCGCCCGUCACACCAUGAGAGUUUGUAACACCCAAAGUCGGUGGGGUAACCUUUUAGGAGCCAGCCGCCUAAGGUGGGACAGAUGAUUAGGGUGAAGUCGUAACAAGGUAGCCGUAGGAGAACCUGCGGCUGGAUCACCUCCUUUCUA